Molecule: long non-coding RNA, 1713 nt
Organism: Anolis carolinensis (green anole)
Lineage: Eukaryota; Metazoa; Chordata; Lepidosauria; Squamata; Anolidae
Exons: 2
Source: RefSeq, a predicted model, not a curated record
UAGAGCAUAUUAAUAAAAUCUGCAAAUAAUUCAAUGGACUAAAUGCAUAGAUUUAGAGAACUGUCUGUACAAUUAUAUGCUCAUAUACAUUAAUAUUAGACUGUACAGCAAGAGUAUUCAGAGCUGUACUUGAAUACCAAUAAUUACAUCAGUGGAAAGUUAGAAAAACUUUUGAAAAGGAUUGGGGGACAUAAUGAUUUCAUUUUAUAAUCUGGGGGGAGCCCCCGAUGGCGGUGGGUUAAACUGCUGAGCUGCUGAACUUGCUGACUGAAAGGUAGGUGGUUUGAAUCCAGGGAGCGGAGUGAGCUCCCACUGCUAGCCCCAGCUUGUGCCAACCUAGCAGUUCGAAAACAUGUAAAUGUGAGUAGAUCAAUAGGUACACUCUGGCGGAAAGGUAAUUGCGCUCCAUGCAGUUAUGCCUGCCACAUCAUCUUGGAGGUGUCUACAGACAACGCUGACUCUUUGGCUUAGAAAUGGAAAUGAGCACCAACCCCCAGAGUUGGACACGAAUAGACUUAAUGUCUGGGGAAAACCUUUACCUUUACCUUUUAUAAACUGGGUAUAUAACAAAUUCAAAAGUCUGAGCUGAACACACUGAUUUUUCCUAUAUUCAGUGUUGUAUCUGGUUUUGUGAAAUAGAUUUUGCAGGGUGUUUUUGUUUAAACUCUACAAAGAUCCGAGGUUGCGGCACUUGGACAUGGCGCUUGUGAGAGGAGAGUAUAGGAAAUGCAUUCUUAUACAGUAGAGUCUCGCUUAUCCAAGCCUCGCUUAUCCAAGCUUCUGGAUUAUCCAAGCCAUUUUUGUAGUCAAUGUUUUCAAUAUAUCAUGAUAUUUUGGUGCUAAAUUCGUAAAUACAGCAAUUACAACAUAACAUUACUGCGUAUUGAACUACUUUUCCUGUCAAAUUUGUUGUAUAACAUGAUGUUUUGGUGCUUAAUUUGUAAAAUCAUAACCUAAUUUGAUGUUUAAUAGGCUUUUCCUUAAUCCCUCCUUAUUAUCCAAGAUAUUCGCUUAUCCAAGCUUCUGCCGGCCCGUUUAGCUUGGAUAAGUGAGACUCUACUGUAAUAGGAUAAAUAUCUCCUGUAAGAAUUCAUAUGUAGCAACUCAAUGCAGCUGAAAAGAAAGUACCUUUUUUUUUCAAUCUAAGAAAGCAAGCGGUUUGCUGAUUCUUAACCUUCUUUCCUGAAAUCUCAAAACAUUUUUUCUUUUACCCUCCCAGUGCCAAGGGUAACAUUUUUCCCUCAGUGAACAAUACUUCAAGCCGGUGACCUUUUGGCCCAGAUGGGUUGAAACCCUGUGAUAGAUGUCUGAAGUUGGCCUUGAACUGCAGGAAACAUGUAUUGCAGGCAAUUCCUUGGGUUUGAAGAACUUUCUGGGAAUUGAAAAGGCACCCACAGGAGGCAUUAAUCUACUGGAGCAGCGUGUGGAGUGAUGGACUUCCUUCAUCAUCAUUAAUUCUCUUUCAGCUUCUAGAUCCACAGCAGCUGGACAUGUUCUGCUGGCAGCUUCCUGAACCCCAAUGCCAUAAGUUAAAAAAUGCCCAUUGACAGAGGCCUUUUGUCUCUUUCUCUCUGCCAUCAGAAGUUCAUUCAUGUUGGUCUGCCAGACAGACAAAUAACACAUUUGGCCAAGACUUUGAAUGGACAUCAUCAAAUCUGUCCUUGGGAGAGGGGUGUAUGUUUUGUGCUAAAUAAAUACAAUGUAUGCAGUAAA